GGGGGGGGGGUGGCGGGUGUCCAGUGAUUCAGCUACAUGUGAUAGAUGACCAAGUGACUUCUUCCUUGGGGUCUGCACAUCACUAGAAGACACCCAACACCGGUGGUGGCCGACUUGAUCAAACUCUGGCUCCCCGAACUGGAAUGAAAUGCAGUUAACUCUUUAGAAAACUUUCGCAGGAAAAGCGCCUCGUGUGAUCUGGAACAAAGACAUUUUAUAAUCAGAUUUAUCAAGCUGUGAAGAGGGAGUUGUAGCGAACGGAAGCAGCAGCAUUCUGUCACCAGGAAAUACUGCUUUAUCCAGAAUUGAACCCCUCCCCAGAAGGCUGCGGAUCACCUUCUGAUCACCUUCUGAAGCUGCUGGCGUGUGUAGGUACCCUCAAUGGCUCAGUAGCCAGUGUAGAUCCUGUCUUUUGUAAUCAGUAGCUACAUCUGGCUACUGGGUCUCUGAUGGCAUCUUCUGGCUUCUGUUACAGCGUCCUGAGCGAGGUUACUGGGGAGUCCUUAAUAAUUCAGUUGUUGCCUUGAUUUACACACACACACACACACACACACACACACACACAGAGUUAAGUUUCUGAGUGGUAACUCUUCCAUUAUUAGCUGGAGUGUGAGAACCAUCAAGGUUUUAUGAAUGAUGAGGUGACUUGAUUUCAGCACCACAAGACGGGGGAAUCCAUAGACUCUCUUUUUCUUUCCUCUUUUCCCCAUGUGGAAGGUGUCAUCUGGUCACAAAACCAUCUGUCUACCUACCUACUUCUCUACCUGUAUAUCUUAUUCAUCCAUCCGUCCACCCAUCCAUCCAUCCAUCCAUCCAUCCGCCCACCCAUCUGCCCACCCAC
Molecule: long non-coding RNA, 841 nt
Organism: Lynx canadensis (Canada lynx)
Lineage: Eukaryota; Metazoa; Chordata; Mammalia; Carnivora; Felidae
Exons: 3
Source: RefSeq, a predicted model, not a curated record